This 435-nucleotide ribosomal RNA is filed under the name uncultured bacterium. RNAcentral's name for it is "partial 16S ribosomal RNA". It matches the Rfam family "Bacterial small subunit ribosomal RNA", at positions 29 to 507 of the family's 1533-position model. The record is from RNAcentral.
AGCGAACGCUGGCGGCAGGCUUAACACAUGCAAGUCGAACGGGCAUAGCAAUAUGUCAGUGGCAGACGGGUGAGUAACGCGUGGGAACGUACCUUUUGGUUCGGAACAACACAGGGAAACUUGUGCUAAUACUGGAUAAGCCCUUACGGGGAAAGAUUUAUCGCCGAAAGAUCGGCCCGCGUCUGAUUAGCUAGUUGGUAGGGUAAUGGCCUACCAAGGCGACGAUCAGUAGCUGGUCUGAGAGGAUGAUCAGCCACAUUGGGACUGAGACACGGCCCAAACUCCUACGGGAGGCAGCAGUGGGGAAUAUUGGACAAUGGGCGAAAGCCUGAUCCAGCCAUGCCGCGUGAGUGAUGAAGGCCAUAGGGUUGUAAAGCUCUUUUGUGCGGGAAGAUAAUGACGGUACCGCAAGAAUAAGCCCCGGCUAACUUCGUG